Molecule: ribosomal RNA, 446 nt
Filed under: uncultured bacterium
Lineage: Bacteria
Description: partial 16S ribosomal RNA
Rfam family: Bacterial small subunit ribosomal RNA
Source: RNAcentral
UCCAGACUCCUACGGGAGGCAGCAGUGGGGGAUAUUGCACAAUGGGGGGAACCCUGAUGCAGCGACGCCGCGUGGGUGAAGGAGCGUUUCGGCGCGUAAAGCCCUAUCGGCAGGGAAGAAGGAGGACGGUACCUGACUAAGAAGCCCCGGCUAACUACGUGCCAGCAGCCGCGGUAAUACGUAGGGGGCAAGCGUUAUCCGGAUUUAUUGGGUGUAAAGGGGGCGCAGACGGCAGCGCAAGCCAGGAGUGAAAGCCCGGGGCCCAACCCCGGGACUGCUCUUGGAACUGCGCGGCUGGAGUGCAGGAGGGGCAGGCGGAAUUCCUGGUGUAGCGGUGAAAUGCGUAGAUAUCAGGAGGAACACCGGUGGCGAAGGCGGCCUGCUGGACUGCGACUGACGUUGAGGCCCGAAGGCGUGGGGAGCAAACAGGAUUAGAUACCCGCGUA